This 141-nucleotide small RNA is filed under the name uncultured Desulfovibrio sp. RNAcentral describes it as "HNH endonuclease-associated RNA and ORF (HEARO) RNA". It matches the Rfam family "HNH endonuclease-associated RNA and ORF (HEARO) RNA", at positions 1 to 128 of the family's 211-position model. The record is from RNAcentral. Lineage: Bacteria; Pseudomonadati; Thermodesulfobacteriota; Desulfovibrionia; Desulfovibrionales; Desulfovibrionaceae.
GUCAACUACCCUCGGUCUUACGACCGAGGCUUGAUGUAACAGUCAAGCCUGGUUGACUAGCCUCAGUCUGCUGAAAAGCAGACUACGUUGGUAGGGAAUAUACAGGCACCGCGAGAUGUUGAUCCUGGUCUCGCGCUCUGC